RNAcentral lists this ribosomal RNA (422 nucleotides) under uncultured bacterium. RNAcentral's name for it is "bacterial SSU rRNA". It matches the Rfam family "Bacterial small subunit ribosomal RNA", at positions 362 to 775 of the family's 1533-position model. The record is from RNAcentral.
UCUUCCGCAAUGGACGAAAGUCCGACGGAGCAACGCCGCGUGAGUGAUGAAGGUUUUCGGAUCGUAAAGCUCUGUUGUUAGGGCAGAACAAGUGCCGUUCUAAUCGGGCGGCACCUUGACGGUACAUAAACAGAAAGCAACGGCUAACUACGUGCCAGCAGCCGCGGUAAUACGUAGGUGGCAAGCGUUGUCCGGAAUUAUUGGGCGUAAAGGGCUCGCAGGCGGUUUCUUAAGUCUGAUGUGAAAGCCCCCGGCUCAACCGGGGAGGGUCAUUGGAAACUGGGGAACUUGAGUGCAGAAGAGGAGAGUGGAAUUCCACGUGUAGCGGUGAAAUGCGUAGAGAUGUGGAGGAACACCAGUGGCGAAGGCGACUCUCUGGUCUGUAACUGACGCUGAGGAGCGAAAGCGUGGGGAGCGAACAG